CGCAGGUCAGCUAGGAUUGAUGAAUUCGGAUCCGGAGAUGUUUGUCCGGAACCGUAGUUCCUCUGAGGAGAGAGGACAAGAAGAACCCAUUCUACAAACAGAAAACAUUCAACGGAUAACAAGGAAGAGAUGUUAUCAAACCCGUCAUCUGUUUGCAUUUAUGGGAUUCCUAGGGUUUGCCAAUGUUUACGCUAUGCGGGUCAACCUCUCAGUGGCAAUAGUAGCAAUGGUGAACAGUACCGCUCUAGGAAACGGUUCUUCAAUCAGUAAUAAUACUUGUCCUGCACCAUCUACCCCCUCCUCUCAUACUACUGACGGUCCAUUUAAUUGGAACGAAAGGGACCAGGGUUUAAUCCUUGGUGCGUUUUUCUACGGUUACGUAGUGACCCAGUUGCCUGGAGGCCGGUUAGCUGAGAUCUGGGGUGGCAAGUGGCUCUACGGGAUAGGUAUCCUGGUGACCGCUAUAUUUACAAUGCUGACCCCUCUAGCUGCUAAAACUAGUGUCUCUCUACUUACUGCUGUUAGGGUUCUAGAGGGUCUAGGGGAGGGAGUCACAUAUCCAGCUAUGCACGCUAUGUUAUCUAAAUGGACUCCUCCGAAUGAGCGAAGUAAGAUGGGUAGCCGGGUCUACUCAGGUUCUCAGUUCGGGACAGUUAUUGCUCUCCCACUUUCAGGAUAUCUUGCUGAUGAGUUUGGUUGGGAGUCAGUAUUCUACGUGUUCGGUGUAUUGAGUUUAAUCUGGUUUCUAGCCUGGGCUUUCCUAAUAUCCGACUCUCCAGAUACACAUCCAACUAUAUCCAGAGAGGAGAGAGAUUAUAUUAAAAGAUCUAUUGGUUCUGCCCGCAGUUCCGUCACAUUAUCUGUCCCCUGGAAAUCUAUUCUGACCUCUGUACCUGUCUGGGCCCUUGUGGUGACCCAUAUGGCGCAGAAUUGGGGAUUCUACACUCUACUCACAGAACUACCAACAUACAUGAAGAACAUUCUGCAUUUUGAUAUCAAGGCGAACGCGUUUAUAUCUGCCCUACCAUACUUACUGAUGUGGCUGUUUGCCUUGUUCAUUAGUUUUCUUACAGAUUUUACAAUAGACCACAACCUGUUGAGCCGUAACUCUGCCCGGAAAGUGUUCAACUCUGUUGCGUUUAUGCUGCCCGGCCUGUUCCUGAUCCUAGCAGGGUACUCAGGCUGUAAUGUAAACACCACCAUCGUCUUCCUUACCUUGGCAGGAGGGAUCAACGGAGCUCAUUAUUCAGGGUUUAUGAGCACACAUCUUGACAUGUCUCCCAACUUUGCUGGAACCCUGCUCGGGAUAACCAACGGCUUCGCCAACAUCAUGGGGUUCUUAGCCCCCGCCUUCACGGGAUACAUCAUCAACGGUCACCAGGACUUGAGUCACUGGCAGUUGGUCUUCUUCGUAGCGGCUCUGGUGUAUUUUGCUGGGAACGUUGUGUUUGUUGUUCUGGGGAGUACGAAGGAACAGCCCUGGAACCAUAAUCCAAGUAAUCCUGGAGAUAGGAACCAGGCAGAUUAUGAACCUAUCUCUACAUCAGAUAUGGAGUCGGACUAAGCUGAGGCACCGGGCUCAAAUUUAUAAUUUGGAGCAUUAUCAAAAAAUUGAACGUAAAUUUAGCAUAAUCUUGAUUUUAUAAAUCCGUCCGUUCAAGUUUUCAAAUUCCAAUAUGUUGUUGGAUAUGAUGGCUAGCUUUACAUGAAAUUUAUUAAUUGGUUUGUUAUUGUUAUUCCUGAUUUUCUUAUAGUGCUUAAAACCACACAAAUGUUGAUGAUAAAAGAUAAACUUUAUUAUUUUUAUAAGAUUUUAUAAUUGGUAUAUUUUUAUAUACAUAUUGUAAGUUUAAUUGUAAUUUUGAGAGCUAUUAAUCUAGAUUAAGAACAGUUUGUUCCCAGUGGCAUUUUUACUUUUGCAUUUUAUAGAUCUGAAUUUUCAAUAGAGUAUUUAUUUAUUGACAAUAACUUGUUAUUUACACAUAAUAAGAUUAAAUUUACAGUUCUCUUGAGUUUAGAUUUAAUGCCAUUGCUUUCAAAUUUAAGUUCAGUUAAUUUUGGAAUUGAGUUUAAGCUUAGAGGUGCUAAUUCUGGCCAGACUGGUACGUUUUUAGUCUAAAUAUCGUAUAUUGUUUGAUUCAUAAUGUUUAUUUUCAGA
Molecule: unclassified non-coding RNA, 2158 nt
Filed under: Eurytemora carolleeae
Lineage: Eukaryota; Metazoa; Arthropoda; Copepoda; Calanoida; Temoridae
Description: putative inorganic phosphate cotransporter
Source: RNAcentral